Molecule: ribosomal RNA, 775 nt
Filed under: uncultured Neocallimastigales
Lineage: Eukaryota; Fungi; Neocallimastigomycota; Neocallimastigomycetes; Neocallimastigales
Description: partial large subunit ribosomal RNA
Rfam family: Eukaryotic large subunit ribosomal RNA
Source: RNAcentral
GUACACGCUGUGACUAGCAUAUCAAUAAGCGGAGGAAAAGAAACUAACAAGGAUUCCCCUAGUAACGGCGAGUGAAGCGGGAAGAGCUCAAAUUUGAAAUCUUAAAGGGUUUCCCUUUACGAAUUGUAGUUUAAAGAAGUGUUUUCUGUUGAGGUUUUGGUAAAAGUUCUUUGGAAUAGGACAUCAUAGAGGGUGAGAAUCCCGUAUUUGACCUUUACUUUCAACUUUGUGAUACACUUUCAAAGAGUCGGAUUGUUUGGGAAUGCAGUCCAAAAUGGGUGGUAAAUUUCAUCUAAAGCUAAAUAUUGGCGAGAGACCGAUAGCGAACAAGUACCGUGAGGGAAAGAUGAAAAGAACUUUGAAAAGAGAGUUAAACAGUACGUGAAAUUGUCAAAAGGGAAGCGUUUGACACCAGUGUUGUUUUUCUGAAAAUCAAUUAAAGAACUGUUUAUGCUAAGCUGUUUAGACUUUAUCAGCUAUCUGUUUAGUUUUGAGCUUUUCUUUAAUGCACUUUUCAGUUAACAAGUCAACAUCAAUUUCUUUUGCUGUAAAAAAGCUUGAGGAAGGUGGCUUGAGAUUCGUCUUAAGUGUUUAUAGCCUCUUGCCUAUGCAGUCGGAGAGAUUGAGGUCUGCAGCGUAGAUCCUUCGGGGCUAAAUGCAUUUGUGCUAAGUUAUAGCAUUUUCAUAGACAACUUGUUGACUAUGAUUUGUCUUGUAGCUCACUCGCUUAUGUUAUUUUACCUACGCUUAGGAUGUUGACGAGACUGUCGAUCUC